This 266-nucleotide ribosomal RNA is filed under the name uncultured bacterium. RNAcentral's name for it is "partial 16S ribosomal RNA". It matches the Rfam family "Bacterial small subunit ribosomal RNA", at positions 793 to 1055 of the family's 1533-position model. The record is from RNAcentral.
GUCCACGCCCUAAACGAUGUCAACUAGUUGUUCGGUGAGGAGACUCAUUGAGUAACGCAGCUAACGCGUGAAGUUGACCGCCUGGGGAGUACUGCCGCAAGGUUAAAACUCAAAGGAAUUGACGGGGACCCGCACAAGCGGUGGAUGAUGUGGAUUAAUUCGAUGCAACGCGAAAAACCUUACCUACCCUUGACAUGUCAGGAAUCCUUGAGAGAUUGAGGAGUGCCCGAAAGGGAGCCUGAACACAGGUGCUGCAUGGCUGUCGU